Suricata suricatta (meerkat) is the source of this 68-nucleotide small nucleolar RNA. NCBI's taxonomy places the organism in Eukaryota, Metazoa, Chordata, Mammalia, Carnivora, Herpestidae. The record is from Ensembl.
UUACAAUAAUGGUAAUAUUUUUUAGAAGAAGUUCACUUACUGAGUAUUGAUAUUUUGUGUCUGAGUGA